UGAUAUUCAAUUUUUUUGAGUGUCACCUGUAUUUAUCAUUAUUUUUUGUUAUAUUUUAAUGGGAUUUACUGCAGUGCCAUCACUGGAAGUGGAAGGACUUGCAUGAACCUGGUAAAAAUUAAAAUGCUCAAAAGCUCUUCACUCACAGGGUUGACAGCUCGCUCAAGUGUACUGCCUUGAGGGUUCAUUUCCAUCCUCAGUCCAAAUCCUCCUGCCAGUCACGUCUGCCUCUGGGCUUUGAGUGCGCCUCGGUCUGGCCACUUCAUCAUACACACACACACACACAGGCUAAUCUCUGAGCUCUCCAAAUAAUAUCAUCCACAUAAGCCAAUGACAAUCUGCUCACAGCGUGAAGGAACUGCUCUGACAGGGCCAAACAAUAAACAGGUACACACAAAAAGCAUUAGGAAAGUAUAUUUUAAAUGUCUUAUGCCAUUUUUUCAAAUCUUAUUAUUCUUAGUGAGUAAAAUUAAUAUAAUUCACAUAAAACAUUCAAUUUGUAUAGUCAACAUUAAACAUUGUUCAUUAUGUGUUCAGUCUUACAAUCUAAUGCAAUUUUCUUUUAUUAAAUUAAGCUGUCUUGAUGAUGUCAGUGGAAAGGAAAGUCGUUUCAGAGGAUAUUUCUUGGCAGCAUGAGAUGGAAAGGCACAGACUGUACUUCUGAAUCCAGACCCACGCCAGCAGCUGAGAGUUACAUGCAUUUAGAAGGCCUCUAAAGAUCUCUAUGCAGUGGGUGCUGAAGGAUCGUGGAGUGUGGUGAAAUUAAUCUAAUCAGGUGACUGCAGCUUAAAGGGCUCAAGAUAAUUAUAGUUUGAUUCAAUGCUUUCUGGGGGGGCUGGGGGGCUUUUCAGUGACUGUGCUGCUCCCAGAACCAAAAGGGUUCCUUGGGGCAUGUUUUUGUCUGGCAUUAAAACAACCAUGCUGAGAUCCUCAGACAGCUUCCACAUUAGAAAAAUAAAAAAGACUGUGAGCAACCCAGAUUGUGUUGCUGGGGAACUGCGUAAAUCAACUUUUCACUGACCGUGCAGUGAUGAUUCAAAGGUUUUCCAAACCCUCAGAAGCUCAUAGUGAAACUGCAGAGGAUUCGUAAAAUUUUGCAGUUCUGGAAUGACUCCGACAUAACCUCCUGAUUCCCAUCAGCCCCGUGUCCGGCAGCAUUCCAUCACUCUUCGACGGCAUCGAUCUGGCCGUCUCUCUUGUCAGCCUCAUCACUGCACCUGCGGAUGACUG
Pimephales promelas (fathead minnow) is the source of this 1230-nucleotide non-coding RNA. Lineage: Eukaryota; Metazoa; Chordata; Actinopteri; Cypriniformes; Leuciscidae. The record is from RefSeq and is a predicted model, not a curated record.